UUCCCAAAAUAUUAUACUCGGAACAUUAAUAUGUUACCAACUAAAUUACGAGAAUAAUAAAUGAGAUCUCAUUCAAAAUUGCAGCAACUCCAAAGCAGAUAUGAGGGUAAUGAAAAUGAGGCAAAGACAGGAGGUGGGAGAGACUGGAGAGCAAUGAAUGACACGUACGGAUGCCAUUCAUCAUUCAAAAGACUCACAGGUUUGAACCGUGGAUGAACAGAACUAUAGGUUUGACAGGCCCAUAAUUAAAGGUUAGCUAAAACCAGAGCAAAGCAAGAUGGAAGGUGGACAAGUGUGUUUGAGUUGGGUCAGUUUAAUCUGUGCCUUGAAACAGUUGAAUCAAGAGAAGAAACCAUCUUGGGCCAUUUGAUCUUGUCAGAUUGAUAUUGCUUCUUCUUUCUUGAUUAAGAAGAUGCCUCACAUGUUUCAGAAAAACGAGCAACUUGGCGCCAAACGCCAUUUAUAAACCCUAAGAACAAAGGUAUCAUCACCGUAUCAGCAGACAAAUGCAACAGUCCAGAAUCACCUAUCACAUUAUUCAUAUAUUGAUUAUUCAUGUCUUUUUGACCCCACCUUAUAUUUAUUUCAUGAAAAUGCUUGUCCCUAACUUGUUCUCUGCCCCUCUUCCUUAACUCCUUCUCCGGCUUCUCUCAUUUAUUCUUCACUGUUCUUUUACCAUAUCUUUGCGUGGUUCUUUUUCAUGAUUCUGUGCAGAGAUUCUCCUUACCGAAGCAGUUUGGACCCUUUACUAGUUAGAUCUAAUGUGUAGAUUGUUUCCAUUAAUUUCUUAACAUCAUAAGUGUUGUUUAGAUUUGUCUUUUGAGCAACAUAAAUGUGUGUAGAAU
Molecule: long non-coding RNA, 845 nt
Filed under: Populus tremula
Lineage: Eukaryota; Viridiplantae; Streptophyta; Magnoliopsida; Malpighiales; Salicaceae
Description: long non-coding RNA (PTRE_LNC000023)
Source: RNAcentral